This 835-nucleotide long non-coding RNA is filed under the name Phasianus colchicus (ring-necked pheasant). RNAcentral's name for it is "lncRNA (ENSPCLG00000003423.1)". Lineage: Eukaryota; Metazoa; Chordata; Aves; Galliformes; Phasianidae. The record is from RNAcentral.
UACACCCAUCUCUUGUCACUGUGUAUUUUGACAAGCAGCACCCCAGCCUUGUGUUGGAUAGUGGGUGCAUGAGUUGUGCUGUUGGGCUGUAUGAGGGUAGUUUGGGAUAUCUGCAGUCCUGCAGUAAAGGGUGAAGUCCUACCUGCCUGUGGAUUUGGCAGUUUAUAGUCUCAUCAGAUACAGAGUCAUGUGGAUAAGUUUUUCUUCUUAUUUUUCAGUGCAUUGGUGAGGUUGUACCUUGGAGCUGAAUUCUUCAGAGCCUGGCACCUGGGCAGAUGCAGGAGCAUUUCUCCUGGUGAGCGUGUGGCUGGAGCCAGAUUCCUCCAAAGACCCAGUGAAUAGCUUGUCCUAUCAUCUACUGAUAAACAGACAAACCAGACAUAGCCUGGGGUCUUCUCCAGCUAUGCAGAAGUAUCUAUUUGUCAAGAUGGUCCUCGUAAUUACCAUUCGUUAUCACAAUGGAAAACAGAUCUCUCAAUUGGUUUCCUAAUACAUCUUCAGCAUUAGCUGGGACAUGAGCUGGAAGGUAAGUUACAUUUGAAUAUAUAAUGUAAUACUUUGGUUUUAAGUCUCUUAAAUUCCUUGGCAUUGGGCUUGCCUGGCAAGGUUUUGGUAGCAGGGGCCUGCAGAGUGGUCAGGUGCCCCGUGUCAGAUCAUAGCCAGCUCCAGCUGCUCCAGAAGGCACCUAUUGCUGCCAGAGCUGAGAUGUGAGCACUGCUGGGUGUGCUCUGUGAUGGCAGCCCAUGGAGAGGAGACCACAGUGGGGCAGAAGAGCUGGGGGAGCUGCUGCCUGUGGAGUCCUGUGCUGGAGAAGAGCCUGAAGGAUGGGCCCUGU